Molecule: long non-coding RNA, 1357 nt
Organism: Sardina pilchardus (European sardine)
Lineage: Eukaryota; Metazoa; Chordata; Actinopteri; Clupeiformes; Clupeidae
Exons: 4
Source: RefSeq, a predicted model, not a curated record
UAUGUCGUUAUGAAUGUAGAGUUUUAGUUUGAAUGAAAUAUCAGACGCAAGUAGCUUAGCUUAAAGUGGCUGUUACCAUGCAGGCUGAAGGCUGAAGUUAGCUAGCAGACAGACACAGGUGAAAGUUGUUAACGUUAGCAGCUAGUUAGUAACAUUACUUUGCGAACUCCAUGGGGCAUGGGUAGUUAACAUUAAACUUAAUACAUGUAGUGUUGAUGCAUAAUAUGUAGUGUUGCUAUAACUGGAAAGAGGACCAGUAAAACAAAUGAAUGAAGUAGGCUGAUGUGUAAGUUAUCUCACCCCUAAUUUAGGAACUGUAGUUUUGCAUAGUCAUGCUCAUAGAUCCGUCAUAUAGUGGAUGUGAAAGGGGAGCAUUUGGGGAAUUUCAAUUACCAGAAAUAUCAUGCCGAUAAGUAAAGGGAUCUUUAGUUUGUGAAGGGUAGUGUUUGGCUAAAUGGUAUUCAUUUUAUAGCCUUUAUUUGCCCAAUGUUUGGUGACUUACAUUGAGGCAUGUGUUUAUUUAAGAUGCAUGUGAGUGUAGUAGUGCUUCAGUGAUGGUCUUUUCAUGUUCUGUGUGUUUUGCAAUGUAUUAAUUAAUGUAAGCCUCUUUCUGUUCCCUCUGUUAGUAGGUGGUGUGAGGACUGCUGCCCUGAGAACGCUGUGUCAGAGACACUUAGGCUGUGUGCAUUUUGGAAUGUUCCAAAUGUGUGUCACUUCCAUAAGGAAGAAGUUCCAAGCCUGCAAGCUCAACUGUCAACAACUGUCCAGGGCGAAGUCGGUCUACCCUGAUGGCACUACCUGAUGGCACUACCCUGAUGAUGUCUGUUAGCCAUGGCUGCUGCCCUCAACAUGGUGAGCCAUCCAGAAGUCCCAGCCUGGAGCCAGAGGCUGCUAUUGCAAGUCAGAUGGGAGACGGCCUACAGUAUGUUAGGCAUCAGAAAAGUGGUGUACGCAUGAAGGCAGAGUUGCCGCAGGCAAUUAUGAGAUUAGACACUUGACAUUUACUGCGAAAGGUACCAUCAGAGCACCUCUCCCUACCCUGCAGGAUACCUAUACCAGAAGAGUACAACAACGGCCCAAAAGUAUUUCAAAAGACAUUUCACGCUCUGACCACGGACUGUUUAAACCACUGAGGUCAAGCAGACGUCUCUGUUCCCACGUGGCAGACUGAGGGAACACCCACAAAACAGACUGGGGAUGAGUUUCUUUACUCCGCAUCCUGUACACACACAACUCCUUAUACUACAUUACAUAGACUUGCCAGUUGCCAUACUGCACUUACACACACUGCGCUUUUAACCCCCUUAUCUGUGUCAAAUCAGAUAAGGUUGUGGUUGAAUUCAAACCAUGUCUACGG